RNAcentral lists this ribosomal RNA (403 nucleotides) under Fusobacteriota bacterium. RNAcentral's name for it is "Fusobacteria bacterium partial 16S ribosomal RNA". It matches the Rfam family "Bacterial small subunit ribosomal RNA", at positions 355 to 776 of the family's 1533-position model. Lineage: Bacteria; Fusobacteriati; Fusobacteriota. The record is from RNAcentral.
UGGGGAAUAUUGCACAAUGGAGGGAACUCUGAUGCAGCGACGCCGCGUGAACGAAGAAGGCUUUCGAGUCGUAAAGUUCUUUUAUAUGGGAAGAUAAUGACGGUACCAUAAGAAAAAGCCCCGGCUAACUACGUACCAGCAGCCGCGGUAAUACGUAGGGGGCUAGCGUUGUCCGGAAUCACUGGGCGUAAAGGGUUCGCAGGCGGAAAUGCAAGUCAGGUGUAAAAUGCAGUAGCUUAACUACUGUAAGCCUUUGAAACUGCAUAUCUUGAUAAGAGUAGAGGUAAGUGGAAUUUUUAGUGUAGCGGUGAAAUGCGUAGAUAUUAAAAAGAAUACCGGUGGCGAAGGCGACUUACUGGGCUCAUUCUGACGCUGAGGAACGAAAGCGUGGGUAGCAAACAGG